RNAcentral lists this long non-coding RNA (2501 nucleotides) under Strigops habroptila (Kakapo). Its description in RNAcentral is "lncRNA (ENSSHBG00005010937.1)". Lineage: Eukaryota; Metazoa; Chordata; Aves; Psittaciformes; Psittacidae. The record is from RNAcentral.
UGCUGGAAAUCAGAAGUGAGCGAUGUAAUGAUCUGGAUGGAAAGUGAUUGGGCCAGGUGUGUGUUGCUAUUUUUACAGCGUGGAAGGAAAAAACAUCUGGAGAAAUUACCAAAAUGAAUUUGGUGUUCGGAACAGGAGAUAAAUUGUAGCCCCAUAAUGUGGGUGUGGAAAAGUAGUGUUCAGGUGACUAGUAUAAGGGAAUUUGGGAACAGAAGGGUUGGCAGGAUCACAGUUUGGGAUGUGCUAAGGAGGAUGGUGAGGAUAUCUCACACAGGCUACUUGCUGGAUUGACACAAGUCAAGAGUGGAAAAAAUAAUAUGUAGAGUCAUCAGCAUAAAAUGAUGAAAAGCCUCAAUAAGCAGAUGAAAUGCUCUAAAGCAGAUCUGCAUAGUGAGCGUACCACAGCAAAGGCAAUCUAUGGUGGCCAGAACAAGUAAGAAAAAGAGAAGGAAGUAAAAGACGCAUUGAUGGCAGAAUGACAGAGAGCCAGAGAGCUGGCAAUGACCAGCACAAUGAAAGCUGCAUGCAAGCAAGCUGGAAAGGAAAUACUUGACUAUCAGUGUCAGAACUGGCAGCAUAGUCAAGAAGAAUAUAGGAAAAGCUAUAAGAUUUCUCCCUGCUAGAAGAAAAUACUUUGGCAAGCAGAGACUAGUGAGCAGAAAUCCAUCCAUGCAGGCUUUGACAGUCUUUUCUUCAGACUUGCAGUACCAGGAGAUUUUAGCAGGAGAGCUAACAGCAGAAAUUGUAAUUCUUUCACCCUUCUCUGCUUGACAUUUCUGCAAUUUUGGAGCAUAACCUAACCUCGGAUCAAACUUUACAAAUACUUAUGUUGGUUAGAACAAUAAGUCAUUAUGGUACUGUGUCCUGUACCCAAGUUCACAAGGACUCUGUGAACAAGGAGAAAAUGGGAUUUGCAUAUCACUUUUGUGUAGAGAAUAAAAAAUGCCAUCCCUGGGCCUUCACUGGCUGCUCAGCUGUGACAGUUCCUGUGCUUCCUUCUCCCACCCAGCCACCGAUAGCCACGUUGUCCUGCGUCCUGCAUCACUUGCCUGAAAGGGCCUCUAGCUUCCCCAUCUUGUCAUAGUCUUCUGCAUUCUCACAACUUUCAUGUUUUCCAUGAUUUUCCCAGUAAUUCUCUUUGCUUCAUACACAGUCAGUUCAGCGACUUUCUGGAUUUGUCUUCUCCAAAAUGUGUGAUGUCAUUGUGGUAACUCUGCAAACAUCAGGUUUGACUUAGUUCCAUGAGCAGUUGAUAGUGUAUGACAGCCAUGUAAUCGGUCAUCAGAUUUCCCUGCAAUAAUGAUGUACAAGCUUCUCAGAGGUUCUCUUGGUCCUUGUCUCACAUUUUUUGCCUCGUCUUUCCUAGCUCAGCCGCAGUUUUCUUGACUCAGAUAGUCAACCACCCUCUUGCCCGUUGUCCUUCCUCCCAUCCAUUCCAGCACGAGGCUCUCCUUUGCUCUUUUGUUCUUAUUUCUUCAACAGACAACAUACAUUGCAUUAGUGCCCCUAACCAGUGCACACUAUUAUAACUCUUAUACUAUUAGGAUUAAUUUUCCAAUUCAAAUAUAAGAUGCUUUUUUUGAAGCAAACCUCAGUUUUUUCAUUCUGUGAAGACAAUCACAGUUUAAUGUAAACAAAGGAUUUUUUCAGAAAGAAUAAGUGAUUUAGAUGCAAAUAUCAUAUUUAUAUAUACACAGACCAGCAAGGUAGAUUGACAUAAAUGAGGUUUUAUGGUCUGUUUCUGGCCCUAAACACUACCAUGCUGAAAUGCUGUAGUGAAUGAUUUGGCAUAUUAAGUAAAGAAAAGAAAAUCACAGGGCAACUUCAUAGAUUUAUUACAGUAUAUCUUUUUAAUAAGCAUGUUCACUGGAGAUUAUAUCAGACUUCAUAAUAACUAGUACAAAGGAUAUAUGUGAUGACAUGACAGUAGCAUGGAAUCUCAGAAAUCAUGUUCACUGUGCCUGUCCACCCUCAGAUGUGCAUUAGUAAAUCCUAAUGCAGUUAAUGGCAUUUGUGCAGUGAAAGGGAAAUGUAGUUCUUAUUUUGAAGAGAAUUGGAGUAUGAUGAAGCGUAGUGUUAAGGGAUGGCAAUGCCAAACAAGCAGCCCUAUGUAUAAUGUAAAUGGAAGAAGAAAUGAUGCCAUAGGGAAAGAGUCCAAAGAAAGCAAAAUAAUUGCCUGAAAAUCUGUGUGUUUAUCAUAUAUAAUCAAUAUUUUAGGAAGCUAGGGAAAUCUUUGAGAACUAGUGUAAGCUUUAAAGUUUAUAAGGAUUUUACUGGACAUGAAGAAAGGAGACAUAAAAAUUAUCAGAAAAAGGGUUAAUCCAGCACAAAUAGGCAAGAAAAUUAAAACUGUAUAAGCAAUUACAGAAAAGAUAGAUGUCUUAUAAAUACUUCUAAGGACAAAUAAGCAUGUUAAUGACUGAUUAUAUUCUUGUCAUUAAUAAUAGCUUUAAUUAACAGUAUCUUUAACUUGUUGAUCGAAUAGCAAAAUAAAUGAAAAA